CCUACGGGGGGCAGCAGUGGGGAAUAUUGGGCAAUGGGCGCAAGCCUGACCCAGCAACGCCGCGUGAAGGAAGAAGGUUUUCGGGUUGUAAACUUCUUUUCUCAGGGACGAAGCAAGUGACGGUACCUGAGGAAUAAGCCACGGCUAACUACGGGCCAGCAGCCGCGGUAAUACGUAGGUGGCAAGCGUUAUCCGGAUUUACUGGGUGUAAAGGGCGGGUAGGCGGGACGGCAAGUCAGAUGUGAAAACCAUGGGCUCAACCUAUGGCCUGCCUUUGAAACUGUAGUUCUUGAGUACUGGAGAGGAAGACGGAAUUCCUAGUGUAGCGGUGAAAUGCGUAGAUAUUAGGAGGAACACCAGUGGCGAAGGCGGUCUGCUGGCCAGCAACUGACGCUGAGGCGCGAAAGCGUGGGGAGCAAACAGGAUUAGAUACCCCAGUAGUC
This 443-nucleotide ribosomal RNA is filed under the name uncultured bacterium. RNAcentral describes it as "partial 16S ribosomal RNA". It matches the Rfam family "Bacterial small subunit ribosomal RNA", at positions 338 to 795 of the family's 1533-position model. The record is from RNAcentral.